This 492-nucleotide ribosomal RNA is filed under the name uncultured bacterium. RNAcentral describes it as "partial 16S ribosomal RNA". It matches the Rfam family "Bacterial small subunit ribosomal RNA", at positions 29 to 507 of the family's 1533-position model. The record is from RNAcentral.
AGUGAACGCUGGCGGUAGGCCUAACACAUGCAAGUCGAACGGCAGCACAGUAAGAGCUUGCUCUUACGGGUGGCGAGUGGCGGACGGGUGAGGAAUACAUCGGAAUCUACUUUUUCGUGGGGGUUAACGUAGGGAAACUUACGCUAAUACCGCAUACGACCUACGGGUGAAAGCAGGGGAUCUUCGGACCUUGCGCGAUUGAAUGAGCCGAUGUCGGAUUAGCUAGUUGGCGGGGUAAAGGCCCACCAAGGCGACGAUCCGUAGCUGGUCUGAGAGGAUGAUCAGCCACACGGGAACUGAGACACGGUCCAGACGCCUACGGGAGGCAGCAGUGGGGAAUAUUGGACAAUGGGCGCAAGCCUGAUCCAGCCAUACCGCGUGGGUGAAGAAGGCCUUCGGGUUGUAAAGCCCUUUUGUUGGGAAAGAAAAGCAGCAGGUUAAUACCCCGCUGUUCUGACGGUACCCAAAGAAUAAGCACCGGCUAACUUCGUG